AUUAUAGCAGCAAUAGGAAACUGAUACAGCAGGGCAAUGCACCUGAUCAUCAAGGGGGGAAAAGUGAGCCAACGAAAGUAGACCCACAUCUGAUCUGGAUGUCAAGGAUUUAAGAUAACUAUUUAAAUAUGUUAAAGAAAAUAGUGGGGGCAACGGACAAAAUGGUGACCAGAUGGGGAAUUUCAACAGAGAACUGGAAUCUGUAAAAGCCAAAGGAACAUUCCAGAAUGGACACAUGUAACAUCUGAAAUAAAGAAUUCCGAUGGGCUGAGCGGCAGAGGUGGACACAGCAGAGGCAAGAGGUCCACUGUCCACUCCUCUCUGAGUCAGGAAGUUGGAUUUGCCGAUGGCCUGCAUCGGCGGCAGAUCAACGUGGAGGGCUAGAGAGCAGUUUCCAUAACCACCUCUUUCCCUUUGCCCUUCCAGUGAUUCUCUGCAUCACCAGCUGUCCUACAAGUCAACUCAAUUCUGACACUCUCUGCCUGGAGAUGACAUCGGAUCCCACAGGUUAAGGUGAAGUCCUACAAGACUGUCCCACUCUUCAGAUGCCAAUCA
Molecule: long non-coding RNA, 555 nt
Organism: Acinonyx jubatus (cheetah)
Lineage: Eukaryota; Metazoa; Chordata; Mammalia; Carnivora; Felidae
Exons: 3
Source: RefSeq, a predicted model, not a curated record